RNAcentral lists this ribosomal RNA (915 nucleotides) under uncultured archaeon. RNAcentral's name for it is "bacterial SSU rRNA". It matches the Rfam family "Archaeal small subunit ribosomal RNA", at positions 1 to 922 of the family's 1478-position model. The record is from RNAcentral.
UUCUGGUUGAUCCCGCCGGACCUGACUGCUAUCGGAUUGAUACUAAGCCAUGCGAGUCUUUGUAGUAAUACAAGGCAGACGGCUCAGUAACACGUAGUCAACCUACCCUAUGGACAAGAAUAAUCUCGGGAAACUGGGCAUAAUUCUUGAUAGAUCAUAAUGCCUGGAAUGGUUUAUGGUUAAAAUGAUUCGUCGCCAUAGGAUGGGACUGCGGCCUAUCAGCUUGUUGGUGAGGUAAUGGCCCACCAAGGCGAUUACAGGUACGGGCUCUGAGAGGAGAAGCCCGGAGAUGGGUACUGAGACACGGACCCAGGCCCUAUGGGGCGCAGCAGGCGAGAAAACUUUGCAAUGUGCGAAAGCACGACAAGGUUAAUCCGAGUGAUUUCUGCUAAAGAAAUCUUUUGCCAGUCAUAAAACCACUGGUGAAUAAGGGGUGGGCAAGUUCUGGUGUCAGCCGCCGCGGUAAAACCAGCACCUCAAGUGGUCAGGAUGAUUAUUGGGCCUAAAGCAUCCGUAGCCGGCUUUGUUAGUUUUCGGUUAAAUCCAUGUGCUCAACGCAUGGGCUGCCGAAAAUACUGCAUAGCUAGGGAGUGGGAGAGGUAGACGGUACUCAGUAGGAAGGGGUAAAAUCCUUUGAUCUAUUGAUGACCACCUGUGGCGAAGGCGGUCUACCAGAACACGUUCGACGGUGAGGGAUGAAAGCUGGGGGAGCAAACCGGAUUAGAUACCCGGGUAGUCCCAGCUGUAAACGAUGCAGACUCGAUGAUGCAUUGGCAUAAUAGCCAGUGCAGUGUCGCAGGGAAGCCGUUAAGUCUGCCGCCUGGGAAGUACGUACGCAAGUAUGAAACUUAAAGGAAUUGGCGGGGGAGCACCACAAGGGGUGAAGCCUGCGGUUCAAUUGGAUCCAACGCCGGA